This 425-nucleotide ribosomal RNA is filed under the name uncultured bacterium. RNAcentral describes it as "partial 16S ribosomal RNA". It matches the Rfam family "Bacterial small subunit ribosomal RNA", at positions 354 to 796 of the family's 1533-position model. The record is from RNAcentral.
GUGGGGAAUAUUGGACAAUGGGCGAAAGCCUGAUCCAGCAAUGCCGCGUGAGUGAUGAAGGCCUUAGGGUUGUAAAGCUCUUUUACCCGGGAUGAUAAUGACAGUACCGGGAGAAUAAGCUCCGGCUAACUCCGUGCCAGCAGCCGCGGUAAUACGGAGGGAGCUAGCGUUGUUCGGAAUUACUGGGCGUAAAGCGCACGUAGGCGGCUUUGUAAGUUAGAGGUGAAUGCCUGGAGCUUAACUCCAGAACUGCCUUUAAGACUGCAUCGCUUGAAUCCAGGAGAGGUGAGUGGAAUUCCGAGUGUAGAGGUGAAAUUCGUAGAUAUUCGGAAGAACACCAGUGGCGAAGGCGACUCACUGGCCCGUUACUGACGCUGAGGCGCGAAAGCGUGGGGAGCAAACAGGAUUAGAAACCCUUGUAGUCC